RNAcentral lists this ribosomal RNA (1176 nucleotides) under Salmonella enterica. RNAcentral's name for it is "partial 23S ribosomal RNA". It matches the Rfam family "Bacterial large subunit ribosomal RNA", at positions 580 to 1757 of the family's 2925-position model. The record is from RNAcentral. Lineage: Bacteria; Pseudomonadati; Pseudomonadota; Gammaproteobacteria; Enterobacterales; Enterobacteriaceae.
CAGGUUUACCUGUGUGACUGCGUACCUUUUGUAUAAUGGGUCAGCGACUUAUAUUCUGUAGCAAGGUUAACCGUAUAGGGGAGCCGUAGGGAAACCGAGUCUUAACCGGGCGUUAAGUUGCAGGGUAUAGACCCGAAACCCGGUGAUCUAGCCAUGGGCAGGUUGAAGGUUGGGUAACACUAACUGGAGGACCGAACCGACUAAUGUUGAAAAAUUAGCGGAUGACCUGUGGCUGGGGGUGAAAGGCCAAUCAAACCGGGAGAUAGCUGGUUCUCCCCGAAAGCUAUUUAGGUAGCGCCUCGUGAAUUCAUCUCCGGGGGUAGAGCACUGUUUCGGCUAGGGGGCCAUCCCGGCUUACCAACCCGAUGCAAACUGCGAAUACCGGAGAAUGUUAUCACGGGAGACACACGGCGGGUGCUAACGUCCGUCGUGAAGAGGGAAACAACCCAGACCGCCAGCUAAGGUCCCAAAGUCAUGGUUAAGUGGGAAACGAUGUGGGAAGGCCCAGACAGCCAGGAUGUUGGCUUAGAAGCAGCCAUCAUUUAAAGAAAGCGUAAUAGCUCACUGGUCGAGUCGGCCUGCGCGGAAGAUGUAACGGGGCUAAACCAUGCACCGAAGCUGCGGCAGCGACACUAUGUGUUGUUGGGUAGGGGAGCGUUCUGUAAGCCUGUGAAGGUGUGUCGUGAGGCAUGCUGGAGGUAUCAGAAGUGCGAAUGCUGACAUAAGUAACGAUAAAGCGGGUGAAAAGCCCGCUCGCCGGAAGACCAAGGGUUCCUGUCCAACGUUAAUCGGGGCAGGGUGAGUCGACCCCUAAGGCGAGGCCGAAAGGCGUAGUCGAUGGGAAACGGGUUAAUAUUCCCGUACUUGGUGUUACUGCGAAGGGGGGACGGAGAAGGCUAUGUUGGCCGGGCGACGGUUGUCCCGGUUUAAGCGUGUAGGUGUGUGUUCCAGGUAAAUCCGGUUCACUUUAACACUGAGGCGUGAUGACGAGGCACUACGGUGCUGAAGCAACAAAUGCCCUGCUUCCAGGAAAAGCCUCUAAGCAUCAGGUAACAUCAAAUCGUACCCCAAACCGACACAGGUGGUCAGGUAGAGAAUACCAAGGCGCUUGAGAGAACUCGGGUGAAGGAACUAGGCAAAAUGGUGCCGUAACUUCGGGAGAAGGCACGCUGACAC